CCUACGGGUGGCAGCAGUGGGGAAUAUUGCACAAUGGGGGCAACCCUGAUGCAGCAACGCCGCGUGAGUGAAGAAGUAUUUCGGUAUGUAAAGCUCUAUCAGCAGGGAAGAAUAUAGACGUUACCUGACUAAUAAGCCCCGGCUAACUACGUGCCAGCAGCCGCGGUAAUACGUAGGGGGCAAGCGUUAUCCGGAUUUACUGGGGGUAAAGGGCGGGUAGACGGCGGGGCAAGUCUGAAGUGAAAGGCAGGGGCUUAACCCCGGAACUGCUUUGGAACCUGCGAUGCUAGAGUGAUGGAGAGGCAGGUGGAAUUCCUAGUGUAGCGGUGAAAUGCGUAGAUAGUAGGAGGAACACCAGUGGCGAAGGCGGCCUGCUGGACAGUAACUGACGUUGAGGCUCGAAAGCGUGGGGAGCAAACAGGAUUAGAUACCCGAGUAGUC
RNAcentral lists this ribosomal RNA (441 nucleotides) under uncultured bacterium. RNAcentral describes it as "partial 16S ribosomal RNA". It matches the Rfam family "Bacterial small subunit ribosomal RNA", at positions 338 to 795 of the family's 1533-position model. The record is from RNAcentral.